GGACAACCUGCCCUGAGGACUGGAAUAAUCCCGGGAAACUGGGGGUAAUUCCAGAUAUGCCAGAACUCCUGGAAUGGGUUCUGGCAGAAAGGCUCCGGCGCCUCAGGAUGGGUCUGCGGCCUAUCAGGGUAGUAGUGGGUGUAACGUACCUACUAGCCUACGACGGGUACGGGUUGUGAGAGCAAGAGCCCGGAGAUGGAUUCUGAGACACGAAUCCAGGCCCUACGGGGCGCAGCAGGCGCGAAAACUUUACAAUGCGGGAAACCGUGAUAAGGGAACCCCGAGUGCCCGUAAAUUCGGGCUGUCCAUCAGCGUAAAUAACUGGUGAAGAAAGGGCCGGGCAAGACCGGUGCCAGCCGCCGCGGUAAUACCGGCGGCUCGAGUGGUGGCCACUAUUAUUGGGCUUAAAGCGUCCGUAGCUUGGUUGUUAAGUCUCUUGGGAAAUCUACCGGCUCAACCGGUAGGCGUUCAGGAGAUACUGGCAAUCUAGGGACCGGGAGAGGUGAGAGGUACUCCAGGGGUAGGAGUGAAAUCCUGUAAUCCUUGGGGGACCACCUGUGGCGAAGGCGUCUCACUAGAACGGCUCCGACAGUGAGGGACGAAAGCUGGGGGAGCAAACCGGAUUAGAUACCCGGGUAGUCCCAGCUGUAAACGAUGCGCGUUAGGUGUAUCGGUGACCACGAGUCACCGAGGUGCCGAAGGGAAACCGUGAAACGUGCCGCCUGGGAAGUACGGUCGCAAGGCUGAAACUUAA
RNAcentral lists this ribosomal RNA (754 nucleotides) under uncultured archaeon. RNAcentral's name for it is "bacterial SSU rRNA". It matches the Rfam family "Archaeal small subunit ribosomal RNA", at positions 102 to 859 of the family's 1478-position model. The record is from RNAcentral.